RNAcentral lists this non-coding RNA (77 nucleotides) under Fidelibacterota (SAR406 cluster). Lineage: Bacteria; Pseudomonadati. The record is from RNAcentral.
AUUUUUGUCAGUCGUGCUUUGCACCAUAUUGCCGCGACUUUAAAUAAAAGCGCUAAAAAGGUAGACAAUAAUAGUAG